Molecule: long non-coding RNA, 1111 nt
Filed under: Coturnix japonica (Japanese quail)
Lineage: Eukaryota; Metazoa; Chordata; Aves; Galliformes; Phasianidae
Description: lncRNA (ENSCJPG00005003889.1)
Source: RNAcentral
AUUCCGAGAUGAGUCGUAGAUUCCGAGAUGAGUCGUAGGCGCGGUAGAUUCUGAGUUUUGAGUGUUGAGAGACGAUAUCUCUCUCUAAUCCCAAAGACAAGCAGAACAACCACAGAAAGACACUGCAACAGAAAAGCAAAGCAAGCAGCCAAGGGUAAGACAAGGACAAAAGCAAUAAGGAAAGCCAAGGGAAAGCCAAAGCAAAAGCAACAGCAAACAGACCAUUAUAGGGAACACCAAGAACAAAGGCCAAAGGGAAAACAGCGUGGAGAGCCAAGAGAACAACAAAGGGAACAAUGAAACAGAGAGUAAGACCCAAAAGAAUGCUGCAUAGAACUGCAAAAUAGAGCAAGGCCAUAAAGAACACUGCAGGGAACAUCAAGAUGGAGAGCAAGGCCCAAAAGGGCACAUACAACAUCAAGAUGUAGGGCAAGGCCUAAAAGAACACUGCAUGGAACUGCAAAACAGAGGGCAAGGCCCAAAACAGCACUGCUGAAACAUCAAGAUGGAGGGCAAGGGCCAAAAAAAGAUCACGUAAAACAUCAAGAUGGAUGGCAAGGCCCAAGAGAACAUCACGCAGAACAUCAAGAUGAGGACAAGGCCCAAAAGAACACUGCAAGGAACAUCAAGAUGGAGGGCAAAGCUGAAGAGAAAACUGCAGCAAACACCAAGAUGGAUGGCUAGGCCCAAAAGGGCACUACAAGAAACAUCAAGAUGGGGGGCAAGGCAGCAGAGGAAACUGCUUGGAACUCCAACAUGGAAUGAAAGGCUGAAGGGAAUGAAGCACCAAAAUGAACAACAAGGCCCAUAGAAUGAACAGAACAUAAAGUGAGAACAAAGGAAACACUGCAGGAAAUGCUGGAGAAACAGCAGAGAACAGAGGAAAAGAGAAGCCCUGUGUCCUUCUAUAGGUCUCCAUUCCGUCACACCUGCUUCAUGAGCCCUGGUCCUUCGAUGAGGAUUCAUGAUCUACCUCUCGUUCAUGAGCCCUGUGGGGUCUUCUAUUGAGGAUCUCCAUCAUAACAUCCUGCUUCAAUGAGCCCUGGUCCUUUCGAUGAGGAUUCAUCAUCACCGUCAUGCCUUCAUGAGCCUGUGUCUUGCUAUAGGAUCU